AGUCGUAACAAGGUAUCCGUAGGUGAACCUGCGGAUGGAUCAUUAACAAAGGUGUUUUUGAAGUUGUGUGAACAGUUGGAGGUGGUGGUGGUGGUAUUGGGUGGUGGUAUUGGGUGGUAUUGGGUGGUGUAACCUUGGUCAACCUCACUCAACCUCACUCUCCCACUCUCCCAACCUCCACCACUCCGUCCCUAUAAUGUAUACAAACUGAUGUCUGCUAGUUUCAAACUAAAACAACUUUUAGCAACGGAUCUCUUGGCUCUC
Molecule: unclassified non-coding RNA, 264 nt
Filed under: fungal sp.
Lineage: Eukaryota; Fungi
Description: partial internal transcribed spacer region
Rfam family: Eukaryotic small subunit ribosomal RNA (bases 1-45)
Source: RNAcentral